This is a non-coding RNA of Ceratotherium simum simum (southern white rhinoceros), 166 nucleotides long. The record is from RefSeq and is a predicted model, not a curated record. Lineage: Eukaryota; Metazoa; Chordata; Mammalia; Perissodactyla; Rhinocerotidae.
UUCCGUUUUUUGGAUAACAGCCAUCCUAAUGGGUGUAAAGUGAUAUCUCAUUGUGGUUUUGAUUUUCGUCUCCCUAAUGACUAGUGAUGUUGAGUAACUUUUCAUGAGUUUAUUGGCCAAUUGUGUAUCUUCUUUGGAAGAAAAAAUGUUUGUUUAUACCCUCUGC